CCUACGGGAGGCAGCAGUGAGGAAUAUUGGUCAAUGGACGCGACUCUGAACCAGCCAAGUCGCGUGCAGGAUGACGGCACUGUGUAUUGUAAACUUCUUUUAUGCGGGGAUAAACUGAGUCACGUGUGGCUUGUUGAAGGUACCUCAUGAAUAAGGACCGGCUAAUUCCGUGCCAGCAGCCGCGGUAAUACGGAGGGUUCGGGCGUUAUCCGGAUUUAUUGGGUUUAAAGGGAGCGCAGGCCGCCCUUUAAGCGUGGUGUGAAAUGCCGGGGCUCAACCGUGGCACAGCAGUGCGAACUGGGGGGCUUGAGUGGGAGGGAGGUAGGCGGAAUGCGCGGUGUAGCGGUGAAAUGCUUAGAUAUCACGAAGAACCCCGAUUGCGAAGGCAGCGUACCGGCGCGUCACUGACGCUGAGGCACGAAGGUGCGGGUAUCGAACAGGAUUAGAUACCCCUGUAGUC
RNAcentral lists this ribosomal RNA (460 nucleotides) under uncultured bacterium. RNAcentral describes it as "partial 16S ribosomal RNA". It matches the Rfam family "Bacterial small subunit ribosomal RNA", at positions 338 to 795 of the family's 1533-position model. The record is from RNAcentral.